AGCAGCCGCGGUAAUUCCAGCUCCAAUAGCGUAUAUUAAAGUUGUUGCAGUUAAAAGCUCGUAGUUGAAUUUCGGAAUUUGUCGGUCGGUCGGGCUUUAUUGUCCGCACUGGCCUGAUAGAUUCCUACCUUCUGAAUAACCAGCAUGCUAUUAAUUUAGUGCGUUGGGGAAGCAGAGCUAUUACCUUGAAAAAUUAGAGUGCUUAAAGCAGGCUUAUGCUUGAAUAGAUUAGCAUGGAAUAAUAAAAUAGGACGGCCUGGUUCUAUUUUGUUGGUUUCUAGGAUCACCGUAAUGAUUAAUAGGGAUAGUUGGGGGCAUUAGUAUUCAAUUGUCAGAGGUGAAAUUCUUGGAUUUAUUGAAGACUAACUUCUGCGAAAGCAUUUGCCAAGGAUGUUUUCAUUAAUCAAGAACGAAAGUUAGGGAUCGAAGACGAUCAGAUACCGUCGUAGUCUUAACCAUAAACUAUAGCCGACUAGGGAUCGGACGAUGUUAAUUUUUAUGUACUUCGUUCGCGCCUUAA
Molecule: ribosomal RNA, 520 nt
Filed under: uncultured Acaulospora
Lineage: Eukaryota; Fungi; Glomeromycota; Glomeromycetes; Diversisporales; Acaulosporaceae
Description: SSU rRNA
Rfam family: Eukaryotic small subunit ribosomal RNA
Source: RNAcentral